ACGGGAGGCAGCAGUGGGGAAUCUUGCGCAAUGGAGGAAACUCUGACGCAGCCACGCCGCGUGAGUGAAGAAGGCCUUCGGGUUGUAAAGCUCUGUCGCCCGGGACGAACAUUCUCGAGGUUAACAGCCUCGGGAACUGACGGUACCGGGAGAGGAAGCACCGGCUAACUCCGUGCCAGCAGCCGCGGUAAUACGGAGGGUGCAAGCGUUGCUCGGAAUUAUUGGGCGUAAAGGGCAGGUAGGUGGUCUCAUUUGUCUGGGGUGAAAGCCUUGAGCUUAACUCAAGAAGUGCCCCAGAAACGGUGAGACUUGAGUCCGAGAGAGGGUCGUGGAAUUCCCGGUGUAGCGGUGAAAUGCGUAGAGAUCGGGAGGAACACCAGAGGCGAAGGCGGCGACCUGGAUCGGCACUG
RNAcentral lists this ribosomal RNA (410 nucleotides) under uncultured soil bacterium C0101. RNAcentral's name for it is "bacterial SSU rRNA". It matches the Rfam family "Bacterial small subunit ribosomal RNA", at positions 341 to 742 of the family's 1533-position model. The record is from RNAcentral.